GAAGAAAAUGGGCAUCAAAGUAGA
This 24-nucleotide non-coding RNA is filed under the name Cricetulus griseus (Chinese hamster). Lineage: Eukaryota; Metazoa; Chordata; Mammalia; Rodentia; Cricetidae. The record is from RNAcentral.